Long non-coding RNA from Brassica napus (rape), 1736 nucleotides. RefSeq lists it as uncharacterized. The transcript has 2 exons. NCBI's taxonomy places the organism in Eukaryota, Viridiplantae, Streptophyta, Magnoliopsida, Brassicales, Brassicaceae. The record is from RefSeq and is a predicted model, not a curated record.
AAGGUAUGACUAAGAGCAUAUUCUACUUAUUCUUUACUUUUUAGUCAAUUCUAAAAUUAUUAAUUAUUAAUAACUAGAACAUGAUAAGACAUAGGCUUUGUAAAAUUAUUCAUGUUCUUUUUAAGAAAAGACUAGAUUUUAUAUAUGGUUGCACACAUAGUUUUAUUCUAAUACAGUAGAUUUGAUAUUGAUAAGAAACUUGAAUAACUUUUUAACCAGAUUGAGAUGACUAUAUUUAAUUCACAAACACUUGAUAUGUUUAUUGACCAGGUUCACAUGGAAGGUGUUGUUAGAACUGUUGAUUUAACUGAUUUUGAUGGAUACAAUCACAUGAUCCUUGAACUAGAAAAACUCUUUAAUAUCGAAGGCAAGUUGCAUAUGCACAGUCAAUGGAAACUAACCUUUAAAGUUCAUGAAGGAGAUAUGAUGCUUGUUGGAGACGAUUUAUGGCUGUAAGUUUCCUCUUUCUUCUUCUCUCAAUUUAUUCUUCUUCUCUCAAUGUUUGGGAAAAUAAGAAACUUAAUGUGUUUUUGAUUCUGUGUAGGAAAUUUUGCAACACCGUGAAGGAAAUAUUCAUAUGUUCAAAAUAAGAUGCCAUAAAAUGAAAUUUGAGAACCAAUUCUCUAAAGGUGACUCAGCAUUUACAAAAAUAAUUUCACCGUCCGAUGUCGAGACAGUCAAAAAGGGGUUUUGUUACUUUUAGUGUGUUUUUAUAUAAUACUAGGGUUUGAUCUCUGUUCACCCAGAUAUUUUACUUUUAUUUAACAUUUGUGUUUAACUUGAAGAGUUUGGUUUUAUAUUAUGUGUGAUAUUUAUUAUUGUGAUUGCUCUUCUUUACUUUUAUCAACUCUUUUCAUUGAACUUAUUUGUUAUAAGGAGAUUAAGACUCAGUUUUGUUGUGUUUACUAAAUUGCCUUAUACAAUUACUGAGAUAGUUUGAAUGGGACUAUGUUCUGUUUUUAUUUUGGCGAUAGAAAUUUUAAUCAUUUUCUUAUUUUAAAUCAUCUAGUUUCAUGUCUGCUCUUAUUUGUUUUUGGUAAGUUGUUUUAUAUUGCAUUCUUUCGAAUUGUGCAACUAUAUAUUUUUAUUUCCAUAUCAAUAUUGGAAUUAUGGUUGAGUUUUUUUUUUUGAAUUAUGUAUGUUACCUUACAAUUUAUUUCUAUACAAUAACUGUAGAUCUCUUAUUUCUGUCAUGUAAACAAACUUUUAGUUUGUUUUGUAGUACUAACAUAUGGUUAUUAACAUUUACCAACUAAGCUAAUGGAGAUUUUAGUCAAAAAUAGUUGAAAUAUUACAUAUUAUUUUCAAGGCUGGAAGCGCAUGCUACCCCAGCUUCUAUCCAGGGCCGACACUGCUUACAUCGUGAUGAAAAUCUUGUGAACAAGAUCGGAGAUAUUUCUAAAUACAUGAACGUUUAAGUGGAAGAGUUGUGUAAGAGAGUUGACGUGCUCACCAGGCUUCACUAUGCCUCAUCAAAAUCAAUGCCAUAAGCUCUGUUCUUUUUUUUUUAAUUUAUGCUUCUUGAGUUUAAAGUCUUUUGAUUUGUUAGCAUCAUCUUCUGAAUGGAUUUAGGUAUUGGCUUUUGUAAUAACUUGGCUAUGUUGUUUUGUUUCUUAAUCAAACCGACUCUGUUUUUAGUCCUUUACAUAGAGAAUCAUGAAGAUAUAAAACAUAAUUGUGAAUAUUGUUAUUGAGAUAUGUAUAUAUUUAGUUAAGAAAUCUAGGUUUAACGUUUA